UACGGAGGGUGCAAGCGUUAAUCGGAAUUACUGGGCGUAAAGCGUGCGCAGGCGGUUUGUUAAGUCCGCUGUGAAAUCCCCGAGCUCAACUUGGGAAUUGCAGUGGAUACUGGCAAGCUGGAGUAUGGUAGAGGAAGGUGGAAUUCCCGGUGUAGUGGUGAAAUGCGUAGAUAUCGGGAGGAACACCAGUGGCGAAGGCGACUUCCUGGCCUGUUCUUGACGCUGAGGCGCGAAAGCUAGGGUAGCAAACGGG
Molecule: ribosomal RNA, 253 nt
Filed under: uncultured bacterium
Lineage: Bacteria
Description: partial 16S ribosomal RNA
Rfam family: Bacterial small subunit ribosomal RNA
Source: RNAcentral